This 76-nucleotide transfer RNA is filed under the name Lysobacteraceae bacterium. RNAcentral describes it as "tRNA-Asn". It matches the Rfam family "tRNA". From Rfam's summary of the family: Transfer RNA (tRNA) molecules are approximately 80 nucleotides in length. Lineage: Bacteria; Pseudomonadati; Pseudomonadota; Gammaproteobacteria; Lysobacterales; Lysobacteraceae. The record is from RNAcentral.
UCCCCGGUAGCUCAGUUGGUAGAGCAGGUGACUGUUAAUCACCGGGUCUGCGGUUCGAGCCCGUCCCGGGGAGCCA